Herpailurus yagouaroundi (jaguarundi) is the source of this 5933-nucleotide long non-coding RNA. RefSeq lists it as uncharacterized. The transcript is spliced from 4 exons. NCBI's taxonomy places the organism in Eukaryota, Metazoa, Chordata, Mammalia, Carnivora, Felidae. The record is from RefSeq and is a predicted model, not a curated record.
UCUUCGCAUUGCUUGUCAUAUAAUAUGCCCUUAAUGAAUUAUUAUGGAAUUAAUGAAUAAAUUAAUUAAUGCUCAGGAGCUCAUCUGUGAAGCUGUGAGCUUCCUCCUCCUUGCCAGAUUAUUGAUUCUGUCCUAAGUCUGUUCCCUGUUGGCGUCCCACACGGGCGUGAUGAGCAUUAACCAGAUGGCUAGCCACAGAGAUGUCCACCCUUGGACUCAAAGCCUGCUUCCCAAGCCAGGGUGCUGGAGACGACUGGAGACCAUCCCAGGCCCUUGGCUAUCCGGUGGCCCCAGUGGAGGCAGCAGCAGCAAAUCCAAGAACGAAGUGAAACUCUGGAUUUAGCCUUCAGGAUCUGACCUGGGAGCAGAAGUCUUUGGCUUUCCCGAUGCAACCCAUUUUACAGCCUUUGCUGAGUCACUUCCCAUCAGCGUUACUCAAACAAAGAUGCGCGUUAGGUGCUGUGGCUGCUGUGGCUGAUGCGUUUUCCAAAUGUGUGCUGUAGCCAAAUGUCUGAGCCCCAUCCAAUCCACAGUUUAUGUUUCAAUACAAACAAAGUCACACAACCUCUCAGAGAUUCGCCCACGGUUCUUGUCAAUCAUUCCUUGCCCUCUCUGCCAGUCUGUGACCUACCGUCUUUCAGAUUCCAUCCACUCUCCACCUUCAAGACAUGAUGUGGCUUGUUUCCAGAAACUGAGAUGGUUGCAGAAUAAGCCGAGCCAGCCUCUGUCACCAAAAGGGUUAAUAUCCUCCCCCCCAGGGAUUGACCACAGCUGAGCUGCCACCCAGGUGCAGAUAGUGACAAGUUUAUACAACCAAAUGGUGCAACAGUGGGCACCCUGAGUCUUGAAGAGGCAUUUUCUCCAAUGUUCUGGUCUUAAUGUACAAUGGCAAGAAAUCAUUUAACUUUGAUUAUUGGUGUCGUUCUACCAGGAACACAGACUCCUUGCAAGAGUGACCUCUAUCUUGGCUUAUGCUGUUGGUCCCAAGUGUCACCCGGUUCCGUGAAAGAAGAAAGGAUGAAGGUGCAGAAAGCCAAUCUUUAAUGGAUCUGGAUGCGUUGUACGCACCCCCACGCUAACCCUCCCAGCAACUGUCAUCCCUACUGGACAGACGAGGUGAGAGGACCCAGAGAGGCUAAGCAGGCUGUCCGAGAUGGCAGACCCAGAGCUAACAGCUAGGAUGGACACAAAUCCCACCACCUUUCCACAAGUUUCCUUCAAUGAGGGGACUGCUUCCGGAAAUGCCAACACCAACGUGUGUGGAGAUGUGGCCCUGGCUUCAGCCUUCUUCCCCCUGUCAUCAGACACUGAAUCUUUCUUCUGGGUCAGUGUUCAAGUGAAUUCGUCAGACAAAUAAAUCCAUGCAGGAUUCACCAUCCUGAACCAGGAGAAGCAGCUAAAAACCCUGGAUUCCAGCCCCGGUGCCAUCUAGACAGAGAUCGAGUCAGAAUGGACCCUAGUGGAAAUUGAGCCUUUCAAAGUAACGUCAACAUGAUGCUGGCACCCGGCCUUGGGUCUCUUUACAAAGGAAAGGGGAGGAGCAAAUUCAGGUAAACACCAGGAGAGAGGUAAUCCCCGUCCUCUGUGGCUCCUAGCACUGACCUCCACCAAGGCCAGCCUAUAAGGGUUGGUGUCAAUGAUGUAAAGCUUGAAACUUGAUCCCUUCCCAGGGAACAGAAUGGGGGUGCGGUUCUUGAGAAACCAGACUGAAGAGAAAUUAGCCUUCACCAGCUGCUCCUGUAAUUGCAUUUAAAUUCAGUUAAACUAAUUUCUUACACUUGAUAAAAGCAGUUGUCUUUCCAAAUCAUCCUCAGACUCCUCCAUUCCAAACACAAUAUAAAUAUACCACGGCCUGGUUAGAGAGGUCCUUCCUUCUGGGCCUCUUUGUCACCUUACCUCUGUUCUUGGCCCUUCGCUGGGGCACAGUUUUUUGUAAAGAGCUCAGAAAGCUGAACUGCCCUAUUAGCAUAAGAGUCUGUGACUCAUUGACUCACAGAUUGUAAAUCACACUCACAUGGGAUUUUAAUUAAUUAUAUUAAUUUUAGGGGAAACAACAAAACUGAAAAGUCUACAGUGCUUCAUUUACUGAGAAACUCUGAAAUGUCUUUUAUUUUUAGCAAGAGCCAUAAAAACAUCUCAUACUGAAAUAAUGCAAAAAUCAAGGAAGGGUUGUAUUACUCAGCGUGAUCGCGCCCUUUAAAAGGCUUUGACAUUUUCUUUAUUUUUGUAAGGUUUUUUAGAAAGAAAAAAAUAUAUAUUAUAUUACAUACACAUCUACACAUGCAUACGCUACCCAGAUCCUCUCUGCAAGAAUAUUCACAACUGACUGCAAUUUGGUGUAAGGUGGUUCUAUCUCAAAGGGGGAUUAAUUACUAAAUUAUCAUAAAAGCAUGCAAUUAGUUAUCUUCAUUUAAGAGACUGCCCCAUGGUAAGAGACUCUCAAAUACUUGUAUGCACAUACACACUUCAUUCGUUGUUUAUUAUUCAUUUGCAUUUAUUCAUUUAGUCAAGCUAAUAUAUAUCAGGGCCUACUAUGUGCCUGACACGUUGCAGGGGCUGACAGUACAAGGUGAACUUAAUAAGACCAGUCUGGAGGUGGAGGUGCAUAGGGUUCCACAUGGUUAAGCAGCAUCAUAGAAUCAAGGGUACAGGGCUGUGGGAACAAGCAGGGAGCAUCUGAGGGCAUCAGAGAGAAAGGGAAAGGACAGAGGGGCAGUGACAUAAAGGAAAGCCAAGAGUGAAGAUCUACAGGUUUUAGUUCAGGAAGUGACUCUUACCCGCCAUGUGUGUGUCAGACACUAGCCAGGUGCUGGGGAAGCCAGCAGUGAGCAAGCUAGACACAGCCACCCCUGUUUUGGAAUUUACAAUCUAAUUAGGAGACGUUAGUCGAAUAAUAACACAGGAAUAAAAUUGCUAUUUUGGUAAGAACCUUUAAGGAAAAAGUACAGGGGCUUUAAGAGUAUACACCAUGUAGCUAAGCUACAUGGUGAAAAUGAGGGUUGGCUUGCUUGAGAAAGUGACAAUAGAGCAGAGACCUGACAAAUUAACAGGCAUGGCCAGAGGAGGGACGGUGGGAAGAGUGUUCCAAGUAGAAGGAACAGAUAGGCAAAGCACUAUUAGAGAAAGCUUGGAAUUUUCUAGAAACCAGGAAGAAGUCAGAGUGAGUGGAACACAACAAGGGAUGAUGAGGUGGGAGGUGGGGAGGUUAGACCCUUCUAAGACCAAGGUCGGACAGGUGGGCAGGGACAAGAAUAUACAAAAUUUGGGCUUUAUGCUAAAAGUAGUAGAAGUACAGUAACACACUAAAAAAAACCCCACCCACAAUUUCUUUAGGGAAGAGAGUUAUGAAUUUAAGUGCCUUACAUUGUACCAGAAGCUCAAGAAAAUCAGUUAUUGUCCCUCUUUCUGUACCCAGCUCAGGUCCUUGACUAGGCUAAUGCAUGUAUUCUGCACCUACACGUUGGUCUCCAGUAGUAUAUUUUGUACUGUUGGUUCUGAUUUUGAUUUUUAACCCAGUUUGUCAACUUGUCUCCUGCCUCCAUGAUUAUUUAUGGUUUCUGCUAUGAUUAGCCAUCUGGAUGAUGGAAUAGCUCAUUCAUUCCAUGAUUCAUUCAACAAAUGCUUAUUGAAUAUCCCUGUUGUACAAUGAUUUAUCCCUCAUUGAACUUACAGUUUCACAAAGGUGUAAGAUACAUGCAUAAAAAUUAUAAUAUUGAAUGUUAUACUGGAGGCCCUAGACAGUGCAAAGGAAGGGCAAGAAAAACAACAACAGUAUGUUCAUAGGACAUCUAAAAUAACCUACAGAUAAAUUAUUAGAAUUAAUGAGGGAUUUUUCCGAGGUAGCUGGAUACAAUAGCAAUAUACAAAACUCAAUUGUAUUCCUAUAAAUCAGUAAAUAAUUAUGUAAAACAUAUGAAGCAAUUAAUAUAAGUAUGUUUUUAACAUAUGGAAGAUAUGCACAGACAAAAUUUUAACACUGUAUUGAGAGAUAUUAAAGAAAACCUGAACAAAUUGAAAAAUAUACCAUAUUCAUGGAUGAGAAGACCCAAUUUUGGAAGGAUACUAAUUUUCCCCAAGCUGAUUCAUGGAUUCCAUGUAAUCUUAAUCCUAGCCAAAAUUCUAGCAAGGUGUUGGUAAAAUUUGAGAAGUUGAUUCUAAAAGUUAGAUGUAAACACAAAGAAUCUCUGACUCUUCUGAAGAAAACAAUGAAGUAGAAAGACUUGCUCUACCAGACACCAGAUUUGUUUUAAAUUGUAGUAAAGGCAGCAUAGUCUUGGCACAGAAUGGACAGAUGGACUAAUGGAACAGAAUAGAGAGAACAGAAAAAUGAUAAACACAUGUGUGGACAUUUGACAUAUGAAAAAGACGCAUGGCAGAUGAAUGAGGAGAGGAAGACAUUUUCAAUGAUGAAUUCCAGGUAGACUACAGAUCUAAGUGUAAAAGGUGAAACUAUAAGCUUUUAGAUGACAAUAUAGAAUACUUUCACAUAAAAAUAUAUGCAAUGUCUUCUUAAACAAGAUCAGAAAGGAAAGAUACAUGAGUUUGGCUACAUUAAAAUUAAGAACUUGUAUUCACCAAAGGAUUCUACACAAAUAAUGAAAGGUCAGACUGUAAAUUGGAAGAAGAUGUAAAUAUGUUAUGUUACAGAAUAUGUAAUAUAUGUGUCAAUAAAUUGAAAAUCUAUUUUAAAAACCUACUCCAUAUCAAUAAGAAAAACUCAAUUCAAUAGAAAAAUGGACAAAACCCAAUAAAUUACCAAAGAUGAAAUCCAAAUGGCCAAUACAUAAGUGUAAAAGCAUUUUAUGGGUAAUGAGGGAAAUGCAAAUUAAAACCACAAAGAGAUAACUCUACAUACCCACGAGACUGGCAAGUAUUCAAAAGUUUGGCAAUACCAAGAUUGGAUAAGGUGUGUAAUAGUGAGAAGUCCAAACACUGUGGAGUGGAAGGGAGGUGUAAGUUGGUACAACUACUUUGGAAAAGAAUUGUCGUUAUCCACUCCAUUUGAAGAUACGCAAAGAUAAGCUUAUAACUCUGUGCUUCCGUAUCACAUAUGUCCUAGAGAAACUCAUGUAUGUGUACACUUGGAUAAAUGUACCAGAAUGUUUAAGGCAGAAUUCCUGAUGAUAACUAAAAACUGGAAAUAAGCCAAAUGUUCUCUUACAAAGAAUGGAUAAAUAAGUAGGAUAUUCAUAAAAUGAGGACUGUAUAUCAAUAAAGAUAGAUGUAGCUAUUUGAAGCACAAAUGACUCUCAAACAGUGUUGAACAAAAGGUAAAAGGCAAAAGGAUACGAUGUGGAAUGAUUUCCAUUUGUGUAAAAUUUCCAGUCAUAAGGACAGGUAAAAUCAAACCAUAUUGUUUAUGGAGACAUGCCAAAGUGGUAAAACUAUCAAGUAAAGCCCAAAAAGAAUGAUCACAGAAGUCAGAACAAAAGUGGCUUCCAGGGUAGAGGGACAGGGAUAUGACUGGAGAAGAUACCUGGAAGGCUUCCAGAUGGCUGGCCACAUUCUAAUUCUCGACCCAGGUGGUGGUUACAGUAGGUUCAUGUUACUAUUAUUUGUAAAACUGUACACAGGUCUUUAAGAUAUUUUUCUGAAUGAAUAUUAUAUAUCCAAACCAAAAUUAUUUUGUAAAUUGCAUGUAUGAUUACAGUUUUCCUGUGGAUUUCCAGUCUUCUGGAAUCACUCUUCUCUUUAAUAUCCAAGUAAGAAUAAUGCAUCUCCAUCAUGUGUGACUGUGAUUUAGUGUGGCUGUGACUAGUCCCUAUCUUCAUGAAAUGCUUGUUAGUUUCCUGAUUAUUUUAAAUGGCUUCUCACUCUAAACUGCUGUCCCAGGCUGCACCUGGCCCACCUAACCAUUGUCCUCUCUUGCGAUGAUGGUGUUGUAAUCAAGUGACCUCAGAACAGGGUACUGGUGUUCUCCCCUAACCCUAUUC